This 390-nucleotide unclassified non-coding RNA is filed under the name uncultured Calcarisporiellales. Its description in RNAcentral is "sequence contains 5.8S rRNA gene, ITS2, 28S rRNA gene". Lineage: Eukaryota; Fungi; Calcarisporiellomycota; Calcarisporiellomycetes; Calcarisporiellales. The record is from RNAcentral.
AACGCACCUUGCGCUCUCUGGUAUUCCGGGGAGCAUGCCUGUUUGAGAAUCGCAAAGCAACACAAAUCACAUUCAUUUUUUUGGGUGUGGAGUUGGGCCGAAUUCCUCUUUCAUUUUUCGAAGGAGGAUGGCUUGAAAUCUAGAAGGCCGGCUUGGGUAAAACCAAGCGGAUCAGGACCGAAUUUUACUCCCAGAGCAAAUAAUAGUUAAUGCGUUUUUGCGCGUUAUCCCUUUUUGCCCCCGGGGUUGGCCCUGAACUUUUUAGGCCUCACACUUUCUCUCGGCCUAGCUUGAGAGGGAGGGACUAGAGUAUUUUGACGAGGCCUUCCUUGACCGGAGGCCUCUGACCUCUUAGAUCUCAAAUCAGGCAAGACUACCCGCUGAACUUAA